This 253-nucleotide ribosomal RNA is filed under the name uncultured bacterium. Its description in RNAcentral is "partial 16S ribosomal RNA". It matches the Rfam family "Bacterial small subunit ribosomal RNA", at positions 524 to 776 of the family's 1533-position model. The record is from RNAcentral.
UACGGAGGGUGCGAGCGUUAAUCGGAAUUACUGGGCGUAAAGCGCGCGUAGGCGGUCGGGUUAGUCGAUUGUGAAAGCCCAGGGCGUAACUUUGGAAUUGCAUUUGAUACUGCUCGGCUAGAGUAUGGGAGAGGGAAGCGGAAUUUCCGGUGUAGCGGUGAAAUGCGUAGAUAUCGGAAGGAACACCAGUGGCGAAGGCGGCUUCCUGGCCCAAUACUGACGAUGAGGUGCGAAAGCGUGGGGGGCGAACAGG